GUUGAAUUUAGUUUUAAUCAUGUAAGAAUCGAUAAUCACAAUCCAAUAAAUUAAUAGAAACAAAUUCAUACCUGCGGAAGCCAUUGUUAAUAUGAAUGAUAGUUGUAAUAGCAACCAAGAUCUUUCCCUCCUUACUCUUAACAAAGUAUCAGCUAUCAAUGGGGCAAGCCAAUAAAACAUAUGGAGAGGAGAGGGGAACUAGCCUUUAUAUAUAGGAAAUAAUUUGAGCCGUCCUAUUACGACUAGAAUUCUAAUUAGAGUUUAUUUUCGGCCCAUAUACUUAAAAUUACCACAUCAAAUUAAUUACAAUACGUAAGGUGUAAAAGACCCAAUUGAUUACUUAAUAAAUUUGGCCCAAACACAAUAUCAUUAUGAGCCAUACAUUUAACCCGUAAAAUUUGCAAUCAAAUGUGAAGCCCACAUAUGGAAUUAUUAAUUAUUCCAACAUUCUCCCACUUGGGCAAACAUUUGAUUGCUAUAACAAAGUUUUAACACCAGGGUUAGACUACAUAGAUGGCCACAAAAGUGUGACUCCAAUGAUGUCACCUUACGUAACAUGAUCCGGUCUAACAAGAAUAUUAACACCGAACAUGGAAGUCAUUACACCAAUUAAGCGAUGUAAGACCAUUCCACAACUACAAAUGUCAACAUCCUUAUCGACAUGGAUCCCCAUCCUCCAACCAAUGUGGUAGUAUGUGGUAUGAACUUAGCACCAAAUGUAUCAAAACUGUGCUAAUUCAUAUCGAUCCUCAUAAUGCUUUUGAUCAAAAUGAAGCCACAUGUUUCCAAAAGAGACUCAUCUUAUGUCUUUACAUGUCAUAUCUCAAUAUCACAAUAAUAUUAUAAUAAAAGAUAUAAGUCAAAUGCAUGCUCAAAAUAGUCUAUGGAUAGGGAAAAAAUAUUUUAUUAUUAGAAGGGGCUGUACCCGAAAACAUAUGGGUUGCCUACGUACCCUGCAAAGGGAUCAAGCCCAAAACAUAGUUCUUUACAUAAAUGUAUAACUCCC
This 1006-nucleotide long non-coding RNA is filed under the name Olea europaea subsp. europaea. The record is from RNAcentral. Lineage: Eukaryota; Viridiplantae; Streptophyta; Magnoliopsida; Lamiales; Oleaceae.